AGAACGAACGCUGGCGGCAUGCCUAACACAUGCAAGUCGAACGAGACCUUCGGGUCUAGUGGCGCACGGGUGCGUAACGCGUGGGAAUCUGCCCUUGGGUUCGGGAUAACAGUUGGAAACGACUGCUAAUACCGGAUGAUGACUUCGGUCCAAAGAUUUAUCGCCCGAGGGGAUGAGCCCGCGUAGGAUUAGCUUGUUGGUGAGGUAAGAGCUCACCAAGGCGACGAUCCUUAGCUGGUCUGAGAGGAUGAUCAGCCACACUGGGACUGAGACACGGCCCAGACUCCUACGGGAGCAGCAGUGGGAAUAUGGACAAUGGGCGAAAGCCUAGAUCCAGCAAUGCCGCGUGAGUGAUGAAGCCUUAGGUGUAAGCUCGUUUUACCGGAUGAUAAUGACAGGUACCGGAGAAGUAACGCCCCGGAUAACCGUCCGUGCCAGCCACGCCGC
Molecule: ribosomal RNA, 447 nt
Filed under: uncultured soil bacterium
Lineage: Bacteria
Description: bacterial SSU rRNA
Rfam family: Bacterial small subunit ribosomal RNA
Source: RNAcentral